Molecule: ribosomal RNA, 361 nt
Filed under: uncultured bacterium
Lineage: Bacteria
Description: bacterial SSU rRNA
Rfam family: Bacterial small subunit ribosomal RNA
Source: RNAcentral
CUCAGAACGAACGCUAAUACCGCAUAAUCUCGCGAGAGUAAAGGUGGCGCCGCAAGGGCUACCGUCUAAGGAUUGGCUCAUGUCCCAUUAGCUAGUUGGCGGGGUAAUGGCCCACCAAGGCAACGAUGGGUAUGUGGUCUGAGAGGAUGAUCACACACACUGGAACUGAGACACGGUCCAGACUCCUACGGGAGGCAGCAGUAGGGAAUAUUGCACAAUGGGGAAACCCUGAUGCAGCAACGCCGCGUGAGUGAAGAAGGCCCUUGGGUUGUAAAGCUCUUUAGCGAGGGAAGAAGGUAGAUACGGUGAAUAAUCGUGUUUGCUGACGGUACCUCGAGAAUAAGCACCGGCUAAUUUCGUG